AGCGAACGCUGGCGGCAGGCUUAACACAUGCAAGUCGAGCGGGCACUCUCGGGUGUCUGCGGCCGACGGGUGGGUAACGCGUGGGAACGUGCCCUCUGGUUCGGAAUAACUCAGGGAAACUUGAGCUAAUACCGGAUACGCCCUUUUGGGCAAAGGCUUGCUGCCGGAGGAUCGGCCCGCGUCUGAUUAGCUAGUUGUGGAGGUAACGGCGCACCAAGGCGACGUUCAGUAGCUGGUCUGAGAGGAUGAUCAGCCACACUGGGACUGAGACACGGCCCAGACUCCUACGGGAGGCAGGAGUGGGGAAUAUUGGACAAUGGGCGCAAGCCUGAUCCAGCCAUGCCGCGUGAGUGAUGAAGGCCUUAGGGUUGUAAAGCUCUUUUAUCCGGGACGAUAAUGACGGUACCGGAGGAAUAAGCCCCGGCUAACUUCGUG
This 435-nucleotide ribosomal RNA is filed under the name uncultured bacterium. RNAcentral's name for it is "partial 16S ribosomal RNA". It matches the Rfam family "Bacterial small subunit ribosomal RNA", at positions 29 to 507 of the family's 1533-position model. The record is from RNAcentral.